ACCCCUUUUUAUCGGUUUUUAUGAUUGCCUAUUCUUUUGCGUCUGGACCAGGGCCGGCGUCGGCGCGGAUCAGAGAAUCACGGCCACCGGCGUCCUUGUCCUCGGCGGCAAAGUCGACCGUCACAGGAUCGCCUCCGACAAUGUCCACGCGGAAACGGAGGGCGCUCUGAGCGAGCAUGCCGGUGAUCAUGUGGGCGGCGUGCACCGGCGAUCCGUUGUGGUCGCGCAAAAACGGGGGGUCGACAUUGGGGAUGCGCCGCAACCAGCGUGCACGGAGCGAGUCCAAGGCCGCCGGGUCUAGCGGAUCGAGCAGCGUCACGCCAGCGAUCACCACGUCUUUUUCGCGGGUCGACUCGCUCGGCGCAGCCGACCGUCGCGGGGCAGAGGGGCGCGCCGUAACCCUGCCUAUGUGCGUGACGCGCGGCUUGGCGUCGUGCGCCCCCCACUCGCAUGUCAUCUCGAUGCCCGAUGCGAGUUGCACCGUAGCGCGGCCACAUGGCGAGAGCACGCCCGCGCCGAGCGCGUCGUCGUACCGCCAGUGCCAUCGCGCAGGAUCCACCAGACAGUCGUGCGCGGGCGCAAAUCGGCAAUUGUCCGCCGGGGCACCGCAGACAAAGAGGCCGUCGAGGACCACGAGGACGUCAGCGUGACCGAGCAACGCGCAAACGUAGCCGCGUCCAUAGGCAACCAGGGACUUGAAUCCGUCGACGGCGGCCGUUCCCGAAUAGACGGGAGGAUCCAUGCAGCCCUCCAUCCACCUGUCGUCGCGGAGGUCGAUCAUAUCCAUGCAGAGGCCACGGCCGUAAGCCACGGCUGACGAGGCAAACACCGCGACGUGGGCCCGGUGUUGGUCCGUCUGCCUGACGAUGACGAGCGGACACGAGUCGGGACGAUCGGUGCGCGCAGUGUCGAUGACGCGCGUGGCACGAGGACCCAUCGGCGCGCAGGGCACCCAUGCAGGAUCCACAGACGGCCUCGGGCGGUUGAGCGCCAAGACAUCGCCGUCGACCGUGACGGUCUCGCGCAUAGCGCCGUCAGAGUCGACCUCGACCACCCAGAGGCGGUCGAGAUGCUGGCCGGCCGACCAGGGGCGAUCGAUGCACGCAGACGCAUCCCAUGAUUCAAAGGCGGGGCGCACGGCACAAAGGCGCAGCAGCGACCCGACGAGGCUGCCGCUGGCGUCCACGACACACACGAGCGCACAGCGGCGCCCGUAGGCGUCGACGAGGUGAACCUCGUGGCGCGUCUCCCGAACCCGACCGGGUGCCGGUGCGUGCACGGCGAUCGAUCGCGCCACCGACGGUCCCUCUGGCACGCCAGCGGAAUUCCAUCGAGCCGCCCACUUCCACUCGAUGUCGACAACCGAUGCCGAGCGCGCGUCUUUGGGCGCCGCGUCGGUCACGACGACACCGGGCCCUACCCGGUGGCCGUCGCGCCAAAAGCCCCACGUCCACUGCCGGAUGGCGCCGCCAUGCAGCAGCGCACAGAGGAGUCCGGGUCCGCGCACGCCGUCG
Molecule: long non-coding RNA, 1514 nt
Filed under: Pandoravirus dulcis
Description: putative ncRNA
Source: RNAcentral